GCAUUUCUCUCACAUACAGCCUCUCCUUGUGCAAAGUGCUCUGAAUAGUUGAAUGAUGCACCUAAUUUGCAAAUAGAUAAAGGUACCAACAGACAAAACUGUUCUAAUUUAAUUUAACUCAAAGAUCCAGUUAAUAUGAUGUUAUAUGAUGAAUAUUAACUCAAAGUAUUUGAGAAAAUACUCAGUCCAACAUAUAACAGACGUAAUUAGUUUAAGUUUAAAUGAAUUUGGGUUUGGGUUUGCAGUGUAGAGAUUGUUGAGAGCCUAAGAGUGGAUCAUGUUGCUCUGGUGGAAAUGGUUAAAGGGGGGAGGAGUCUCUUUAAAGUUACACCUUCUGAGACAACACUGAUAUUUAUUAUCUCUCACAAUAACAACUGGUGUACAACAACGGAGCCAGCAACAAUGAAGAGACAGAUCACAAUGCUGCUCAUCUGCUUAAUUUUUUUAGAAGCUUUACAGGUUUCUGAAGCACUGAGGUGUUACGGAUGUAAGUCCUCACCAUGUACGACGAUUGUGAACUGCCUCCAAACUCAGAUUUACUGCUAUACCUCGGUGAAACAAAAUGAAGUCACAAAAAAAUGUGCAGACAAAAUGCAGUGUGGACUGCUGAUCAAUGGGACGAUGCCGACUUGCUGUACGACAGAUCUAUGUAACAAAGCUACGGAGGUUCAGCUCGGUCUCUUUGUCAUGUUGGGACCCCUGUUCUCCUCCAUCCUCUUUCUCUGAACUCUCUGCUGCCCCUCUUUUUCCUUUUUUUUUGUCUAUGCAAAAUCUGAAAUGUUAGGGAAAAGUCAUGUCAUUUUCCUAAUUCUACAUUUUUAAAAUCUAUUUGCACCCAUUGUUAUUGUGUGUGGUCUAAGAUGCAUUAACAUUUUUAUUCACUUAAUCAUCAGUAAAUGUAGUAGCAAAGUGUUUUCAGGUCGACAUUUACUUUUUAGUUUUAUGUCACUUUGAAAAGCCAGAUAACAGGAGUUGUGGUGGUUAAAGUGUAUGAUGGCAUUUUAGGGACUUUAUUCUACAACUAUUAUGAUAUGAUUCUCAAAACGUUUUGACGUUUUUCUUAAGUUAUUACGACGUUUAUUCAUUAUGACUUAUAUCUUAAAUUAUUAGCAUACGACUUUAUUUUUGAAAUUGUAGGACUUUGUCCUUAAAGUAUUAUGAUUUUAUUUUUGAAACAUUAUGACAUAUCUUAAAUUAUUAGCCAACGACUUUAAUCUUGAAAUUUUAUGACUUUGUCCUGAAAUUAUUAUGACUUUAUUUUUUAAAUAUUGUGACAUAUCUUAAAUUAUUAUCCUGACUUUAUUCUUGAA
Molecule: long non-coding RNA, 1310 nt
Organism: Astyanax mexicanus (Mexican tetra)
Lineage: Eukaryota; Metazoa; Chordata; Actinopteri; Characiformes; Acestrorhamphidae
Exons: 3
Source: RefSeq, a predicted model, not a curated record